This 259-nucleotide ribosomal RNA is filed under the name uncultured bacterium. RNAcentral's name for it is "partial 16S ribosomal RNA". It matches the Rfam family "Bacterial small subunit ribosomal RNA", at positions 334 to 607 of the family's 1533-position model. The record is from RNAcentral.
UCGCCCUACGGGGGGCAGCAGUGGGGAAUAUUGGGCAAUGGGCGCAAGCCUGACCCAGCAACGCCGCGUGAAGGAAGAAGGCUUUCGGGUUGUAAACUUCUUUUGUCAGGGACGAAGCAAGUGACGGUACCUGACGAAUAAGCCACGGCUAACUACGUGCCAGCAGCCGCGGUAAUACGUAGGUGGCAAGCGUUAUCCGGAUUUAUUGGGUGUAAAGGGCGUGUAGGCGGGAAUGCAAGUCAGCUGUGAAAACCCAAGG